Long non-coding RNA from Salvia miltiorrhiza (redroot sage), 3203 nucleotides. RefSeq lists it as uncharacterized. The transcript has 6 exons. Lineage: Eukaryota; Viridiplantae; Streptophyta; Magnoliopsida; Lamiales; Lamiaceae. The record is from RefSeq and is a predicted model, not a curated record.
UGGCUAUCCAGAUAUCAAGUCCAUCUGCACCAUAGGGAUAAUCUUGAAAGAGAAGCUCGAUGUUUUCUGGCUGAUUCGGGUUAUAUCUGGCAAAGCCUCUGAGAAAUGUUUUCAUAGAACAGAAGACGGGAGGCUUUGCUCAUCGAAUCUCCAGCUUCUGUACAGAAACGACGAGAGCUCCAUUGAGAUGUCACCGGUAAACAGUAUCUUUUCAAAAAUUCCUCCAGCAUUUAGCAACAUGCUCCUUGCCAGUGCAUUUACUUGCAUGGUGUCUUUGAAAUGAGGUUCGAGUAACCGGUGAAUGGGGUGCAUAACACUCAACUUCCUUCGAGUUGCAAUGAUAAAUGGCUCAACAACAGCAUGUGCAUUUAGCCUAGAAAAAUUUGAACUGCUUCAGAAAAUGGUUUCAAAGUACUCGGAUCAGAGUGAAAUAGCAUGAUUGUUUCAUUGCUCACCAAUGGCUGACUAGAUGAUGGUAAACUGAAUCUGCUGCUGCUACAUGAGCUUUUGCUAGUUGCCAGAGAGCAGCUUCUGUCCCGUCAUGUGCUGGACGGAAAACUCUGCUAAUUUCCUCGUGGGACAAAGAGCCAGGCAAGCUCAGUUCUAUGGCUACUGGUUUUAGCGUGCAAUCGUCUCUCAAGAAGAGUAGCGUGCGCGAUGCAUAAGCACAUACACCCUCAUCUCUGUUUAUUCUCGUCAAGAAUGGCAUCAGAUAAUCGUGGUGAUCUAGCUUGAAAAGUCUCCACUGGUUCAUUGCCUGCAUUAUUGUAGAAGAUGAAGAUCGUACAGAGGUAUUGUAUUAUAUAUCAUCUUCCAAGUUAAAUAUUUCUUUGGCGAAGAAUUUGAAUUCUUUUCCUGCUCAAUUUUCAGUUAACGACAUAACCAGUCACUUGAACAUAGCUGCAUUCAAAUCAAGAUUUGGUCCUUUCUACCUCUGCAACUGUCAGACCAUCAAGGUUAUGCUCUAUGUCGGAUCCCUUUAUCGAACUCUUGACUCCAUUGCUGCCGUCUGGUGGGAAAUUCUGCAAUAUAGAGAAAACAUAGAUUUUCUUGUCUACCUGCAGAGAUGAAAUUACAGUUGGAUUAGUUCCAGCAAGCAUCUGCCGUCCAAAUUCAUCGUCAUCCAUCCAUGCAAAUUGGUUCCCUGCAACACAUAACAUCUAAAUAUGUCCCGAUUCUGAUCAUAGUUUUGCAUCCAGUGAUUAAGCUGCAUUACCUGCUGCAAUCCGAGGCAAUUGGAACUUAACAGCCUAUGAAUCUGAUCGAAGGACUCAAAGUGGCUCGUUUCUUGGUUGAAGAUUGCUCCUGCUUCAGGCAUCACAAAAUGGACAGCAGCCCUGACCGCGUUUGUUGUGAAUUCCGAGAGUUUCUGUUGGCUGAAACGUUCAUCUGGAGGUACCGUAGUUGUUUGAAGGGCGACCAGUUCUCAACCUACGCGGAUAUGGAAACGACUGCGUUCCACCUAAAACAGGUCUUCCAUAUCCAAGGCUUCUUUCAGUUCCAUCAGAGAAGGCGGUGUUUGGUUUGGUAGAUAACACUAACAAUGAAAACACGCUAAAAAUCGCGUUACACCCAUUUGAUAUAAGCAGGUAAAAUGCAUCAAGAAGUGCUAUCUAUAACCAACUCACCGUGUUUGGGAAGAAAACACGAUCUUGUUUGGUUAAGUGGAAAGGAUAGAUCCACGAGUUGCAUUCGAAAUGAACUAUGUGGUUGUUGUCUCCUUGCAGAGACACAUUUUGAAGGAAAAACUCGUGUUUGUGCUCGUUUUUCACGACGAAUGCUCCUGGAGCCCCGAAGUCUGGCUCAACGUUGAACUCUACUUCAUACCUCAGAACUUUUGUUCUGGAGCUGCUGUCUGUUUCCUCGUCGAUGCUUCCUUUUUGGAGAGCGGCUUUCUGCGUAAGUUUCCCUUUUCCAGUGCCUAAUACUAAAACAACAUCAGUAGCAGACCAAACAUAUCUAGAUUCUCGUAGAGAAGAAUAAACGUGACAUAGAUGCUGCACUAGACACAUUUUUUAAUUGCAGGGGCCAGUGAAUGUGGUAUUCCGUCAAAGUGUAGGCAGGGGUGUGCGGAAUACCACUUUUCACGCGCCCUACGAAGGUGCCACGUGGCGAGAUUUGAAGCUGGACUCAAGCUUUUAUGGUUAAGAUUGAGCUCAGUUUGUUCAUCAAAAGAUAGAAUUUUGAUCAGUUUCUUCUUUUCCAAAUUGCAAUAUGAGUAGCUCUUGAAUAACUUGAUUCAUUUACAGUGCUACUUAACUCAAAAGGGGUUUAUGUUUAAAAGAUAAUCCGAACUUUAACCUUAUGGUGACCUUUUAGUCCGAAUUUAUAAUUAUUGCAAAUAUAGUAUGUACUUAUCUUUAUUGUUCAGUUUAUUGCUCGAGUCAAAAAUUUAUGAUUAAUUGAGUUAUGUACAUCUAGACAUCUAGUUAUUUGAGUUAUGAUCCUUUGAAUUAUGUAUAUUUAUAAUUUCGACUAAAAAGUCACAUUGAGGUCAAAGUUCGGCAUAUUUCAUAAGGAGGUGGUCUUGGAUACAACUGGGUGUACUGUACAAAUCGAUUUGCACCCUCACUUAGACCCUGACACGCACCCUGAUUUGAACCCGUAUUCUAACCCAAACCGUGCGGGUCAACUCGGUUGUAUGGUACACCCAGUUGUACCCAAGUUUUUUUUGUGUUUCAUAAGAAUAUAACCAUAGGCAAAAUGAGUGAACCAUGAACUAAAAAGUUAUAACUUCGAAUACCGAACUCACCGGGAUCAACGUUGGAAUCGCUAUACAACCAAACUGAGGCUGCUUUUCCGGGGCCUGACUCUCCAUGGCCUACCUGGAUGAUGAUCUCUCCGUAUACGAUGUUCUUCCCGGGAGUGCCGAAACUCCGAACUUUUCUGGCGGCCACGUCACCUUGGCACAGGCUCAGGCACCGGGCGAGGCUUGAACACAAGCCUCGCCGUGUUGCUCUCUGUCCGUGCCUUUUCUUCAUCUUGCUAUACUCAUGGGUUGUGGACUCCAAAGUUUUUAAAGGCAUUGAUAUUUAGUAUCAUGUUCAAGAAAGGAAGUGUGUGCAAAUCUUGCGAUUUGAGGAAAGGAUCGGAUUCAUUCACUUCUUUGGACUUCCAUUUUUAGCUUCUCGAGUUGUAAAUGUAUAGGUUUUAAUGAAUUGCAGUGGUAAUAUAUUAUUAUUGCGAUGUCUUUAUUUUGGAAA